RNAcentral lists this long non-coding RNA (268 nucleotides) under Gallus gallus (chicken). The record is from RNAcentral. Lineage: Eukaryota; Metazoa; Chordata; Aves; Galliformes; Phasianidae.
AUUACUUCAGCAAAAUUACAGUACAUUAUCAGCGAAGUGUCAGAAGAUGGCAGCCAAUUUCUGCUGUCGGGUCAGGAUAUUCUGGAUCUUCCUCAUUUGAAAAGAACAAAAACUCUCAGAGAAGGAAAUGAGAUGUAAUGCACAGCUGUUGUCUGGGCGGCUACUACAGAAGUUACAGAAGAUUUACUUAGACCAGCCUGGGCUGAUAGGGGAACAUUGGGCUUCAGCACUGUGGGUGCACUCUGAGGAUCGGUCAAACAACAGCUGG